This 433-nucleotide ribosomal RNA is filed under the name uncultured bacterium. RNAcentral describes it as "partial 16S ribosomal RNA". It matches the Rfam family "Bacterial small subunit ribosomal RNA", at positions 29 to 507 of the family's 1533-position model. The record is from RNAcentral.
AACGAACGCUGGCGGCAUGCCUAACACAUGCAAGUCGAACGACACCUUCGGGUCUAGUGGCGCACGGGUGCGUCACGCGUGGGAACCUGCCCUUAGGUUCGGAAUACCUCCCCGACAGGGGUGCUAAUACCGGAUAAUUUCUUCUGACCAAAGAUUUAUCGCCUUUGGAUGGGCCCGCGUUGGAUUAGCUAGUUGGUAGGGUAAAAGCCUACCACGGCGACGAUCCAUAGCUGGUCUGAGAGGAUGAUCAGCCACACUGAGACGGAGACACGGCCCAGACUCCUACGGGAGGCAGCAGUGGGUAAUAUUGGACAAUGGGCGAAAGCCUGAUCCAGCAAUGCCGCGUGAGUGAUGAAGGCCGUAGGGUUGUAAAGCUCUUUUACCCGGGAUGAUAAUGACAGUACCGGGAGAAUAAGCUCCGGCUAACUCCGUG